RNAcentral lists this ribosomal RNA (479 nucleotides) under uncultured bacterium. RNAcentral's name for it is "partial 16S ribosomal RNA". It matches the Rfam family "Bacterial small subunit ribosomal RNA", at positions 28 to 507 of the family's 1533-position model. The record is from RNAcentral.
GAUGAACGCUAGCGGGAGGCCUAACACAUGCAAGCCGAGCGGUAUUGUUUCUUCGGAAAUGAGAGAGCGGCGUACGGGUGCGUAACACGUGUGCAACCUGCCUUUAUCUGGGGGAUAGCCUUUCGAAAGGAAGAUUAAUACUCCAUAAUAUAUUGAACGGCAUCGUUUAAUAUUGAAAGCUCCGGCGGAUAGAGAUGGGCACGCGCAAGAUUAGCUAGUUGGUGAGGUAACGGCUCACCAAGGCGAUGAUCUUUAGGGGGCCUGAGAGGGUGAUCCCCCACACUGGUACUGAGACACGGACCAGACUCCUACGGGAGGCAGCAGUGAGGAAUAUUGGUCAAUGGGUGCAAGCCUGAACCAGCCAUCCCGUGUGAAGGACGACUGCCCUAUGGGUUGUAAACUUCUUUUGUAUAGGGAUAAACCUACCCUCGAGAGGGUAGCUGAAAGUACUAUACGAAUAAGCACCGGCUAACUCCGUG